UGGGGAAUAUUGCACAAUGGGCGAAAGCCUGAUGCAGCAACGCCGCGUGAGUGAUGAAGGCCUUCGGGUUGUAAAGCUCUGUCUUUUGGGACGAUAAUGACGGUACCAAAGGAGGAAGCCACGGCUAACUACGUGCCAGCAGCCGCGGUAAUACGUAGGUGGCAAGCGUUGUCCGGAUUUACUGGGCGUAAAGGAUGCGUAGGCGGAUUUUUAAGUGAGAUGUGAAAACCCUAAGCUUAACUUGGGGACUGCAUUUCAUACUGGAAAUCUAGAGUGCGGGAGAGGAGAAUGGAAUUCCUAGUGUAGCGGUGAAAUGCGUAGAGAUUAGGAAGAACACCAGUGGCGAAGGCGAUUCUCUGGACCGUAACUGACGCUGAGGCAUGAAAGCGUGGGUAGCAAACAGGAUUAGAUACCCUGGUAGUCCACGCCGUAAACGAUGGGUACUAGGUGUAGGAGGUAUCGACCCCUUCUGUGCCGCAGUUAACACAAUAAGUACUCCGCCUGGGAAGUACGAUCGCAAGAUUAAAACUCAAAUGAAUUGACGGGGUCAUAGCUGUUUCC
RNAcentral lists this ribosomal RNA (561 nucleotides) under uncultured bacterium. Its description in RNAcentral is "partial 16S ribosomal RNA". It matches the Rfam family "Bacterial small subunit ribosomal RNA", at positions 355 to 937 of the family's 1533-position model. The record is from RNAcentral.